This 945-nucleotide non-coding RNA is filed under the name Wyulda squamicaudata. RNAcentral's name for it is "partial 12S ribosomal RNA". It matches the Rfam family "Bacterial small subunit ribosomal RNA". The record is from RNAcentral. Lineage: Eukaryota; Metazoa; Chordata; Mammalia; Diprotodontia; Phalangeridae.
UAGGUUUGGUCCUAGCCUUACUAUUAAUUAUAAUUAAACCUACACAUGCAAGUUUCCGCUAUCCAGUGAGAAUGCCCUCAAAAUUAUUAACAAAUUAAUAGGAGCAGGCAUCAGGCACACCACAGGUAGCCCAUAACGCCUUGCUUAACCACACCCCCACGGGAUACAGCAGUGACUAACAUUAAGCCAUAAACGAAAGUUUGACUAAAUUAUAAUUAUUAGGGUUGGUAAAUUUCGUGCCAGCCACCGCGGCCAUACGAUUAACCCAAAUUAAUAGAAAACCGGCGUAAAGUGUGUUUAGACAUUAAUAAUAAAUAAAGCUAAGAUUUAACUAAACUGUAAUACGCUCUAGUUAACAUCAAAAUACAUAACGAAAGUGGCUUUAACUACGCUGAAGACACCACAGCUAAGAAACAAACUGGGAUUAGAUACCCCACUAUGCUUAACCAUAAACUAAGAUAAUUCAAUAACAAAAUUAUCCGCCAGAGAACUACUAGCCAGCGCUUAAAACUCAAAGGACUUGGCGGUGCCCUAAACCCACCUAGAGGAGCCUGUUCUAUAAUCGAUAAACCCCGAUAAACCUCACCCAUUCUUGCCAAUACAGCCUAUAUACCGCCAUCGUCAGCCCACCCCAUAGAGAAGAAAAGUAAGCAGAAUUAUUUAUCAUAAAAACGUUAGGUCAAGGUGUAGCAUAUGAAUGGGAAAGUAAUGGGCUACAUUUUCUAAAUUAGAACACACGAACUAUCUUAUGAAAUUUAAGAUACCGAAGGAGGAUUUAGCAGUAAAUUAAGAAUAGAGAGCUUAAUUGAAACAGGCAAUAGGACGCGCACACACCGCCCGUCACCCUCCUCAAUUAAAACACAAAACAUAAUUAAUAAAAUCCAAAAAAAAAGAGGAGAAAAGUCGUAACAUGGUAAGUGUACUGGAAAGUGCACUUGGGAUAUC